Non-coding RNA from Triticum urartu, 135 nucleotides. NCBI's taxonomy places the organism in Eukaryota, Viridiplantae, Streptophyta, Magnoliopsida, Poales, Poaceae. The record is from Rfam.
CUCUUACUCCCUCCGUCCGGAAAUACUUGUCAUCAAAAUGAAUAAAAGGGGAUGUAUCUAGAUGUAUUUUAGUUUUAUAUACAUCCCUUUUUGUCCAUUUUGAUGACAAGUAUUUUUGGACGGAGGGAGUACCAU